RNAcentral lists this ribosomal RNA (1051 nucleotides) under Anaphothrips obscurus. RNAcentral describes it as "SSU rRNA". It matches the Rfam family "Eukaryotic small subunit ribosomal RNA", at positions 713 to 1771 of the family's 1831-position model. The record is from RNAcentral. RNAcentral also lists the same sequence under 5 other names. Lineage: Eukaryota; Metazoa; Arthropoda; Insecta; Thysanoptera; Thripidae.
GCGGUGCUCUUCAUUGAGUGUCGAGGUGGGCCGGCACGUUUACUUUGAACAAAUCUGAGUGCUUAAAGCAGGCCAAGGUGCCUGAAAGGUAGUGCAUGGAAUAAUGGAAAAGGACCUCGGUUCUAUUUUUGUUGGUUUUCGGAACCAGAGGUAAUGAUAAAUGGAGGCAGGCGGGGGCAUUUGUAUUGCAACGUUAGAGGUGAAAUUCUUGGAUCGUUGCAAGACAGACCGCAGCGAAAGCAUUUGCCAAGGAUGCUCUCGUUAAUCAAGAACGAAAGUUAGAGGUUCGAAGGCGAUCAGAUACCGCCCUAGUUCUAACCAUAAACUUAUGCCAGCUAGCGAUCUCACAAUGCUCCAUUGAUGGCUUGUGAGGCAGCUUCCGGGAAACCAAAGCUUUUGGGUUCCGGGGGAAGUAUGGUUGCAAAGCUGAAACUUAAAGGAAUUGACGGAAGGGCACCACCAGGAGUGGAGCCUGCGGCUUAAUUUGACUCAACACGGGAAACCUCACCAGGCCCAGACACUGGAAGGAUUGACAGAUUGAGAGCUCUUUCUUGAUUCAGUGGGUGGUGGUGCAUGGCCGUUCUUAGUUGGUGGAGCGAUUUGUCUGCUUAAUUGCGAUAACGAACGAGACUCUAGCCUGCUAAAUAGUCGUUUCCGGCUUCCUUUGUGCAGCCGGCGAAGACAAAUCUUCUUAGAGGGACAGGCGGCUUUUAGUCGCACGAGAUUGAGCAAUAACAGGUCUGUGAUGCCCUUAGAUGUUCUGGGCCGCACGCGCGCUACAAUGGAGGUAUCAACGUGUCCUCCCUGGCCGAAAGGUCCGGGUAACCCGCUGAACCACCUCCGUGCUUGGGAUUGGGGCUUGAAAUUGUUCCCCAUGAACGAGGAAUUCCCAGUAAAGGCGUGUCAUUAGCACGCCUUGAUUACGUCCCUGCCCUUUGUACACACCGCCCGUCGCUACUACCGAUUGAAUGAUUUAGUGAGGUCUUCGGACUGGCGCGCGGUGAUCUCUCGGGAUCGCCGAUGUCGCCGGAAAGAUGCCCAAACUUGCUCA